CCUGUUUGUGGGCCAGUUGAAAAGUUGUCUCAAGUGCCAGGCCUAAAGGAUUUGCUGGGGGCAAGGUGUCUCUGCGGGAUUGUUUCAACCUUUUCACUAAGGAAGAAGAGCUAGAGUCGGAGAAUGCCCCAGUAUGUGGAGGUUCACAAGGGAUACAGUAAGGGUGGGAGACCUGGGGGGACUCCAUGUGGAUAAAAGGGAUUGCAUGAUGUCUUCAUAUGGGGAAUAAUAUUUAUGUAUCUGGGUUUGUGUUGGAGUCUCAGAUCUGUUCUAGUACUCCUAGAGCAAAGGGGAGAAGCCAAGAGGAUCCAGCUGUAAUGAAGAGCAUACUAAAUUUGUAUGUGGAUCGGGGUGUCAGAAAAGCCAAUUGAGGUUAGGAGCAUAUUAACCUAACACUGUUUGCCAUUUAUUCAGGUGUGUGACCGAUGUCGGCAGAAAACUCGAAGUACCAAAAAGUUGACAGUACAAAGAUUCCCUCGAAUCCUCGUGCUCCAUAUCCUAAUCUUCAGAUUCUUACUUCUCUUAGGAUACCUCCCAUACAUUCUCUUUCCUCCAUGUUUCCAGAGAAUUGAAUUUUCCUUAGGAAAAGUCUGCCACCCACUUUUCCACAAGAUGCUCCCAGUGUGUCGGGAGUGGGGAGAGGACAGCUUUCAGGAUAGAAGAAGUUCCCCUCAGAGGCCCACUGCCUCCCAAAUGCUCCUUA
This 703-nucleotide long non-coding RNA is filed under the name Homo sapiens (human). Its description in RNAcentral is "HSALNT0016435". The record is from RNAcentral. Lineage: Eukaryota; Metazoa; Chordata; Mammalia; Primates; Hominidae.